UACGUAGGGUGCAAGCGUUGUUCGGAAUUACUGGGCGUAAAGGGCGCGCAGGCGGUCCUUCAAGUCAGAUGUGAAAGCCCCGGGCUCAACCUGGGAACUGCAUUUGAGACUGGAGGACUUGAGGACGGGAGAGGAGAGUGGAAUUCCCAGUGUAGAGGUGAAAUUCGUAGAUAUUGGGAAGAACACCGAUGGCGAAGGCAGCUCUCUGGACCGUUAUUGACGCUGAGGCGCGAAAGCGUGGGGAGCAAACAGG
Molecule: ribosomal RNA, 253 nt
Filed under: uncultured bacterium
Lineage: Bacteria
Description: partial 16S ribosomal RNA
Rfam family: Bacterial small subunit ribosomal RNA
Source: RNAcentral